RNAcentral lists this ribosomal RNA (171 nucleotides) under Escherichia coli. RNAcentral describes it as "partial 23S ribosomal RNA". It matches the Rfam family "Bacterial large subunit ribosomal RNA", at positions 1 to 163 of the family's 2925-position model. Lineage: Bacteria; Pseudomonadati; Pseudomonadota; Gammaproteobacteria; Enterobacterales; Enterobacteriaceae. The record is from RNAcentral.
GGGUUGUGAGGUUAAGCGACUAAGCGUACACGGUGGAUGCCCUGGCAGUCAGAGGCGAUGAAGGACGUGCUAAUCUGCGAUAAGCGUCGGUGAGGUGAUAUGAACCGUUAUAACCGGCGAUUUCCGAAUGGGGAAACCCAGUGUGUUUCGACACACUAUCAUUAACUGAAU